RNAcentral lists this ribosomal RNA (1970 nucleotides) under Prosthogonimus cuneatus. RNAcentral describes it as "SSU rRNA". It matches the Rfam family "Eukaryotic small subunit ribosomal RNA". The record is from RNAcentral. Lineage: Eukaryota; Metazoa; Platyhelminthes; Trematoda; Plagiorchiida; Prosthogonimidae.
UCUGGUUGAUCCUGCCAGUAGUCAUAUGCUUGUCUCAGAGAUUAAGCCAUGCAUGUCUAAGUACAUACCUUCAAACGGUGAAACCGCGAAUGGCUCAUUAAAUCAGCUAUGGUUCCUUAGAUCGUACAUACUACAUGGAUAACUGUAGUAAUUCUAGAGCUAAUACAUGCCACUAAGCCCUGACCCGCAAGGGGAUGGGUGGAUUUAUUAGAACAGAACCAACCGGUUGUGGCUUCGGCUGCUUCCGUUCCAUUCUGUGAUGACUCUGGAUAACUUUACUGAUCGCAGUCGACCAUGUGUCGGCGACGGAUCUUUCAAAUGUCUGAUCUAUCAAUUUACGAUGGUAGGUGACCUGCCUACCAUGGUGAUAACGGGUAACGGGGAAUCAGGGUUCGAUUCCGGAGAGGGAGCCUGAGAAACGGCUACCACUUCCAAGGAGGGCAGCAGGCGCGCAAAUUACCCAAUCCCGGCAAGGGGAGGUAGUGACGAAAAAUACGAAUGCGGGACUCAUCAGAGGCUCCGUAAUUCGAAUGAGUACACUUUAAAUCCUUUAACGAGGAUCAACUGGAGGGCAAGUCUGGUGCCAGCAGCCGCGGUAACUCCAGCUCCAGAAGCGUAUAUUAAAGUUGUUGCAGUUAAAAAGCUCGUAGUUGGAUCUGGGUCGCAUGGCUACGUGCCGUCACUUGUAUUCUUGGUCUGGCUACGGUUGGACUGAGUUUGUGAGUCGGCUUCGUGGCUGUGUUGCCUUUCUGCCGUGUCUGUUUCGACAGGUGCUGAUGGUUCAUCCGUUGGCAUGCUUCCAGAUGCCUUUAACCGGGUGUCGGGGGCGGACGGCACGUUUACUUUGAACAAAUUUGAGUGCUCAAAGCAGGCCUGUGCCUGAAAAUUCUCGCAUGGAAUAAUGGAAUAGGACUUCGGUUCUAUUUUGUUGGUUUUCGGAUCCGAAGUAAUGAUUAAGAGGGACAGACGGGGGCAUUUGUAUGGCGGUGUUAGAGGUGAAAUUCUUGGAUCACCGCUAGACAAACAACGGCGAAAGCAUUUGCCAAGGAUGUUUUCAUUGAUCUGGAGCGAAAGUUGGGGGUUCGAAGACGAUCAGAUACCGUCCUAGUCCCAACCAUAAACGAUGCCAACUGACGAUCCGUGAGUGUUCUUCAAGUGACCUCGCGGGCAGUCCCCGGGAAACCUUUAAGUCUUUGGGCUCCGGGGGAAGUAUGGUUGCAAAGCUGAAACUUAAAGGAAUUGACGGAAGGGCACCACCAGGAGUGGAGCCUGCGGCUUAAUUCGACUCAACACGGGAAAACUCACCCGGUCCGGACACCGUGAGGAUUGACAGAUUGAGAGCUCUUUCUUGAUUCGGUGGUUGGUGGUGCAUGGCCGUUCUUAGUUGGUGGAGCGAUUUGUCUGGUUAAUUCCGAUAACGAACGAGACUUUGGCCUGCUAAAUAGUAUGCCUGUCCUCUGUGCUCGUGCAGGUGGCGGUUUUCGUUGCUUCUUCGGGAGUGAUGAUGCCGCUUGCCGGCGGGUACUGCGCAGGUGUUUACUUCUUAGAGGGACAAGCGGCGCGACAGUCGCACGAAAAUGAGCAAUAACAGGUCUGUGAUGCCCUUAGAUGUCCGGGGCCGCACGUGCGCUACAAUGACGGUUUCAGCGAGUAUGGCGUCCUGGCCCGAAAGGGUUGGGCAAACUGAAUCAUAACCGUCGUGACUGGGAUCGGGGCUUGCAAUUGUUCCCCGUGAACGAGGAAUUCCUGGUAAGUGCAAGUCAUAAGCUUGCGCUGAUUACGUCCCUGCCCUUUGUACACACCGCCCGUCGCUACUACCGAUUGAAUGGUUUAGCAAGGUCUUCGGAUCGGUGCCAUUGUAGUUGUUUCGGCAGCUCGACCGGCGCUGAGAAGAUGACCAAACUUGAUCAUUUAGAGGAAGUAAAAGUCGUAACAAGGUUUCCGUAGGUGAACCUGCGGAAGGAUCAUUA